UGGUCAUAUGCUUGUCUCAAAGAUUAAGCCAUGCAUGUCUAAGCAUAAACUGAACUAAAGUGAGGCCGCGAAUAGCUCAUUACAACAGCCGUUGUUUCUUGGAUCUCCGCUUCUACUUGGAUAACUGUGGUAAUUCUAGAGCUAAUACACGCAAUCGAGCUCCGAUCUUUCGUGACGAGCGCAUUUAUUAGUUCAAAACCAAUCAGCGCUUGCGCUGUGGUUUGGUGAAUCUGAAUAACUGAGCAGAUCGCUUCGGUCUUUGCACCGGCGACGUAUCCUUCAAGUGUCUGCCUUAUCAACUUUCGAUGGUAGUUUAUGUGCCCACCAUGGUUGUAACGGGUAACGGAGAAUUAGGGUUCGACUCCGGAGAGGGAGCCUGAGAAACGGCUACCACUUCUAAGGAAGGCAGCAGGCGCGCAAAUUACCCACUCUCGGCACGAGGAGGUAGUGACGAAAAAUAACGAGAUGGCUGUCUUAUGAUUGCUAUCAUCGGAAUGAGAACGAUCUAAAACCUUUAACGAGGACCUAGU
RNAcentral lists this ribosomal RNA (530 nucleotides) under uncultured microeukaryote. RNAcentral's name for it is "bacterial SSU rRNA". It matches the Rfam family "Eukaryotic small subunit ribosomal RNA", at positions 21 to 549 of the family's 1831-position model. The record is from RNAcentral.